Molecule: long non-coding RNA, 319 nt
Filed under: Ananas comosus (pineapple)
Lineage: Eukaryota; Viridiplantae; Streptophyta; Magnoliopsida; Poales; Bromeliaceae
Description: long non-coding RNA (ACOM_LNC013763)
Source: RNAcentral
GGCAUAUAAUUAAUUAUUAGAGUAGUGCUUCUACACUUGUUAUUUUUCGCUACUGUUAGUUCACUCCUCUUCAACGGCUCAGAUUUAAUUUUUUAAAUUGUGACCUACAAUAGCAGGCCACUUAGGGAGAGGUACCGGUUACCAGGUACCUCAAAGAAAGAUAUUUUUGUCUUUUAAAGCAUAAAUAAUUUAGUAAUUUUACCUCUACUAUAUUAUCAAAAUAUUUAUUCUCUCUUUGUUUCCUUUUUCUCUCUCUUUAUUUCCUUACAAAUUCAAUUUGUAACGAAUUAAAAUUUGAAAAAUCAACCAAGAACAAAAA